RNAcentral lists this ribosomal RNA (1428 nucleotides) under metagenome. RNAcentral's name for it is "bacterial SSU rRNA". It matches the Rfam family "Bacterial small subunit ribosomal RNA". The record is from RNAcentral.
GGAGCUUGCUCCGCUGACGAGUGGCGAACGGGUGAGUAAUGUAUCGGAACGUACCAUUCAGUGGGGGAUAACGUAGCGAAAGUUACGCUAAUACCGCAUAUUCUGUGCGCAGGAAAGCAGGGGAUCGCAAGACCUUGCGCUGAUUGAGCGGCCGAUAUCAGAUUAGCUAGUUGGUGAGGUAAAAGCUCACCAAGGCGACGAUCUGUAGCGGGUCUGAGAGGAUGAUCCGCCACACUGGAACUGAGACACGGUCCAGACUCCUACGGGAGGCAGCAGUGGGGAAUUUUGGACAAUGGGGGCAACCCUGAUCCAGCCAUGCCGCGUGAGUGAAGAAGGCCUUCGGGUUGUAAAGCUCUUUCAGCCGGGAAGAAAAUGCAUGGGUUAAUACCCUGUGCAGAUGACGGUACCGGAAUAAGAAGCACCGGCUAACUACGUGCCAGCAGCCGCGGUAAUACGUAGGGUGCGAGCGUUAAUCGGAAUUACUGGGCGUAAAGCGUGCGCAGGCGGUUUUGUAAGACAGGCGUGAAAUCCCCGGGCUUAACCUGGGAACUGCGUUUGUGACUGCAAGGCUAGAGUACGGCAGAGGGGGGGUGGAAUUCCACGUGUAGCAGUGAAAUGCGUAGAGAUGUGGAGGAACACCAAUGGCGAAGGCAGCCCCCUGGGUCGAUACUGACGCUCAUGCACGAAAGCGUGGGUAGCAAACAGGAUUAGAUACCCUGGUAGUCCACGCCCUAAACGAUGUCAACUAGGUGUUGGGAGGGUAAAACCUUUUAGUACCGUAGCUAACGCGAGAAGUUGACCGCCUGGGGAGUACGGCCGCAAGGUUAAAACUCAAAGGAAUUGACGGGGACCCGCACAAGCGGUGGAUGAUGUGGAUUAAUUCGAUGCAACGCGAAAAACCUUACCUACCCUUGACAUGUCAGGAACUUUCCAGAGAUGGAUUGGUGCUCGAAAGAGAACCUGAACACAGGUGCUGCAUGGCUGUGUCAGCUCGUGUCGUGAGAUGUUGGGUUAAGUCCCGCAACGAGCGCAACCCUUGUCGUUAAUUGCCAUCACUCAGUUGGGCACUUUAACGAGACUGCCGGUGACAAACCGGAGGAAGGUGGGGAUGACGUCAAGUCCUCAUGGCCCUUAUGGGUAGGGCUUCACACGUCAUACAAUGGUCGGUACAAAGGGUCGCCAACCCGCGAGGGGGAGCCAAUCCCAUAAAGCCGAUCGUAGUCCGGAUUGUAGGCUGCAACCCGCCUGCAUGAAGUCGGAAUCGCUAGUAAUCGUGGAUCAGCAUGUCACGGUGAAUACGUUCCCGGGUCUUGUACACACCGCCCGUCACACCAUGGGAGCGGGUUCCGCCAGAAGUAGGUAGCCUAACCGCAAGGGGGGCGCUUACCACGGCGGGGUUCGUGACUGGGGUGAAGUCGUAACAAGGUA